This is a long non-coding RNA of Cynocephalus volans (Philippine flying lemur), 179 nucleotides long. RefSeq lists it as uncharacterized. The transcript is spliced from 3 exons. NCBI's taxonomy places the organism in Eukaryota, Metazoa, Chordata, Mammalia, Dermoptera, Cynocephalidae. The record is from RefSeq and is a predicted model, not a curated record.
GCCUGAAUGCUGAGUCAUGGCCAGUAUCAGAGGAACUGGGACCAGAUUCUUCAGCUUCAAAUUGCUGGAAUUCACCUUUCCAUGCAAAAUGCUGCAUUGUUUGUAAUGCCAAGGCUUGGAGACAGCCACUAAAAUGGAAAUUCCAUGAAGCCAUGGGGAAUCAGGGAGAAAAAUGGACG